RNAcentral lists this ribosomal RNA (445 nucleotides) under uncultured bacterium. RNAcentral describes it as "bacterial SSU rRNA". It matches the Rfam family "Bacterial small subunit ribosomal RNA", at positions 330 to 792 of the family's 1533-position model. The record is from RNAcentral.
UCCAGACUCCUACGGGAGGCAGCAGUGGGGAAUAUUGCACAAUGGGGGAAGCCCUGAUGCAGCGACGCCGCGUGAGUGAAGAAGUAUUUCGGUAUGUAAAGCUCUAUCAGCAGGGAAGAAAAUGACGGUACCUGACUAAGAAGCCCCGGCUAACUACGUGCCAGCAGCCGCGGUAAUACGUAGGGGGCAAGCGUUAUCCGGAUUCACUGGGUGUAAAGGGAGCGUAGACGGCGGCGCAAGUCUGGAGUGAAAGCCCGGGGCCCAACCCCGGGACUGCUCUGGAAACUGUACGGCUGGAGUGCAGGAGAGGUAAGUGGAAUUCCUAGUGUAGCGGUGAAAUGCGUAGAUAUUAGGGGGAACACCAGUGGCGAAGGCGGCUUACUGGACUGUAACUGACGUUGAGGCUCGAAAGCGUGGGGAGCAAACAGGAUUAGAUACCCGAGUA